GAUGAACGCUGGCGGCGUGCCUAAUACAUGCAAGUCGAGCGAACAGACGAGGAGCUUGCUCCUCUGACGUUAGCGGCGGACGGGUGAGUAACACGUGGAUAACCUACCUCUAAGACUGGGAUAACUUCGGGAAACCGGAGCUAAUACCGGAUAAUAUAUUGAACCGCAUGGUUCAAUAGUGAAAGACGGUUUUGCUGUCACUUAUAGAUGGAUCCGCGCCGCAUUAGCUAGUUGGUAAGGUAACGGCUUACCAAGGCAACGAUGCGUAGCCGACCUGAGAGGGUGAUCGGCCACACUGGAACUGAGACACGGUCCAGACUCCUACGGGAGGCAGCAGUAGGGAAUCUUACGCAAUGGGCGAAAGCUUGACGGAGCAACGCCGCGUGAGUGAUGAAGGUCUUCGGAUCGUAAAACUCUGUUAUUAGGGAAGAACAAAUGUGUAAGUAACUAUGCACGUCUUGACGGUACCGAAUCAGAAAGCCACGGCUAACUACGUG
RNAcentral lists this ribosomal RNA (497 nucleotides) under uncultured bacterium. Its description in RNAcentral is "partial 16S ribosomal RNA". It matches the Rfam family "Bacterial small subunit ribosomal RNA", at positions 28 to 507 of the family's 1533-position model. The record is from RNAcentral.